This 260-nucleotide unclassified non-coding RNA is filed under the name Hevea brasiliensis (rubber tree). Lineage: Eukaryota; Viridiplantae; Streptophyta; Magnoliopsida; Malpighiales; Euphorbiaceae. The record is from RNAcentral.
UGGACCCAUUUAAUGUUCCAAAAGAAGUUUCACUUGCAGAUGCAAAAAUAUUGGGAAGUACUCGCCGCCUCAGGGAUGAAAAUGCAGGCACCGCUUCUUUAGAGGAAAGGUUCUUUAAUUCUUCUGAUGGGAAACCCCGAUUGCGAUAUGAACAUGAGAUGCUUUUACAAAACAAAGACCGAAAUGGGGAUCUCCUUGCACCACAAGAACAAAAUUUACUUGUGACGGCAUCUUUAAUGGUGGAAUUCGAUGAAGCCCAG